Molecule: long non-coding RNA, 742 nt
Organism: Oncorhynchus tshawytscha (Chinook salmon)
Lineage: Eukaryota; Metazoa; Chordata; Actinopteri; Salmoniformes; Salmonidae
Source: Ensembl
UAUUAGUUGCCUUUAUUUAACCAGGUAAAUCAUUAAGAACAUAUUCUCAACAAACAAGGAACGCUGCUUUGUAAAUAGCCCCUAUAUCCCAACCUGUCCUAGGGAACCCCUGGCUCUGCUGUUGACUAACCUCUUCCAGGUCCAUAUCCGGCCCCAGGUAGUCCUCCUGCUCUUGCCCUAGCUUCAUAGCCUCCUCCAGGGACUCCUCCUGCUCCCUGACCGUACCCAGCUCCAGGCCCUGUUCCUGCUCCAUACCCUGCACCAGGCCCAGCUCCGGUCCCGUAUCCACCCCCAGGCACUCUUCCUCCUGCUCCUGCUUCUCCUGCUCCUAAGGCGCCUCCUGCCCCUGGUCCGUAGCCUCCUCCUGGCAGACCUCCUCCCGGGGCACCGAAUCGCCCACCAAGGCCUCCACCCGGAGCUCCUCCACCUCCUCCUGGACCUGGCAGGACAACACGGGAGGGGUCAAAGAGACUUAGCCCCAGCAGGAUAUCCUGUGAGACAGAGCACAUGAUGGGAGACAUUUUAAUGAUGGGAGACACUUCGUUGGUCCUAUACCAGGCAGUGUCAGAGGAAGGCCCUAAAAAUGGUUGAAGAGUCCAGCUAUCCAAGUCAUAGACUGUUCUCUCUGCUACCGCACGACAAACGGUACCGAUGCACCAAGUCUGGAACCAACAUUAUUCUGAACAGCUUCUAGCCAAAAGACUGCUAAAUAGUUAACCAAUUAGCUACCCAGACUAUCUGC